GUCUACAGCCAUAGCACCCUGAACACGCCUGAUCUUGUCUGAUCUCACAAGCUAAGCAGGGAUUGGCCUGGUUAGUAGUUAGAUGAGAGACUGCCUGGGAAUACCGGGUGCUGUAGGCU
This is a ribosomal RNA of Cercocebus atys (sooty mangabey), 119 nucleotides long. The record is from Ensembl. Lineage: Eukaryota; Metazoa; Chordata; Mammalia; Primates; Cercopithecidae.